This 253-nucleotide ribosomal RNA is filed under the name uncultured bacterium. RNAcentral describes it as "partial 16S ribosomal RNA". It matches the Rfam family "Bacterial small subunit ribosomal RNA", at positions 524 to 776 of the family's 1533-position model. The record is from RNAcentral.
CACGGGGGGAGCAAGCGUUGUUCGGAAUCACUGGGCAUAAAGGGUGCGUAGGCGGCUUGUUUAGUCACUGGUGAAAGUUUUCGGCCCAACCGGAAAAUUGCCUGUGAUACUGGCGAGCUUGAGUACGUGAGGGGUUGGGGGAACGAGCAGUGUAGCGGUGAAAUGCGUAGAUAUCAGGAGGAACACCGAUGGCGAAGGCAGGUCUCUGGGCAUUAACUGACGCUGAGGAGCGAAAGCAUGGGGAGCGAACAGG